GUUCCUACGGGACGCAGCAGUGAGAAAUAUUGGUCAAUGGCCGCAGGGCUGAACCAGCCAAGUCGCGUGAGGGAUGACGGUCCUAUGGAUUGUAACCUCUUUUGUCAGGGAGCAAAGGGCGCCACGUGUGGCGCUUUGCGAGUACCUGAAGAAAAAGCAUCGGCUAACUCCGUGCCAGCAGCCGCGGUAAUACGGAGGAUGCGAGCGUUAUCCGGAUUUACUGGGUGUAAAGGGAGCGUAGACGGCAUGGCAAGUCUGAUGUGAAAACCCGGGGCUCAACCCCGGGACUGCAUUGGAAACUGUCA
This 305-nucleotide ribosomal RNA is filed under the name uncultured bacterium. Its description in RNAcentral is "bacterial SSU rRNA". It matches the Rfam family "Bacterial small subunit ribosomal RNA", at positions 335 to 638 of the family's 1533-position model. The record is from RNAcentral.